GAUGAACGCUGGCGGCGUGCCUAAUACAUGCAAGUCGAGCGAACGGACGAGAAGCUUGCUUCUCUGAUGUUAGCGGCGGACGGGUGAGUAACACGUGGAUAACCUACCUAUAAGACUGGGAUAACUUCGGGAAACCGGAGCUAAUACCGGAUAAUAUUUUGAACCGCAUGGUUCAAAAGUGAAAGACGGUCUUGCUGUCACUUAUAGAUGGAUCCGCGCUGCAUUAGCUAGUUGGUAAGGUAACGGCUUACCAAGGCAACGAUGCAUAGCCGACCUGAGAGGGUGAUCGGCCACACUGGAACUGAGACACGGUCCAGACUCCUACGGGAGGCAGCAGUAGGGAAUCUACCGCAAUGGGCGAAAGCCUGACGGAGCAACGCCGCGUGAGUGAUGAAGGUCUUCGGAUCGUAAAACUCUGUUAUUAGGGAAGAACAUAUGUGUAAGUAACUGUGCACAUCUUGACGGUACCUAAUCAGAAAGCCACGACUAACUACGUG
This 497-nucleotide ribosomal RNA is filed under the name uncultured bacterium. Its description in RNAcentral is "partial 16S ribosomal RNA". It matches the Rfam family "Bacterial small subunit ribosomal RNA", at positions 28 to 507 of the family's 1533-position model. The record is from RNAcentral.